RNAcentral lists this unclassified non-coding RNA (422 nucleotides) under Hevea brasiliensis (rubber tree). Lineage: Eukaryota; Viridiplantae; Streptophyta; Magnoliopsida; Malpighiales; Euphorbiaceae. The record is from RNAcentral.
AUAACUAAAAUUGAAUAAUUAUUUUAAAAAAUAAUCAUAUUAUUAUAAAAUAAAUUAAUAAUACAUAUUAAAAAAUUUUAAAAAUAAAGGAAGUUCUUAAAUAUGUUUUUACAAUGAUUUAUUAUUAUUUUUUUCAUUAUAAAGGAUAUGAAUUAUUGUUUUUAUUUUUUUCAAUUAGUAUAUCGUGUUCUAUUAUUUGCAGGUGAACACAUUUUCUAUGUUUUUCCUUGUUUUCCAUAGAAAAUGAAAACUGUAGUUUUCUUAGAAAUGGAAAACGGAAAACAGAAAAUUGUUUUCCAUGAGUAAACAGACCCUAAGUUCUUCUACAUUUGAAAUUUUCUUGUUAUUUGACUAAUUGGAAAUUUAUGUUAUCAGGAACUGAUAUAGAUCUUUUCUGGGCCAAAUUGAAUGCAGAUGAGCAG